GGGCCCGUAGCUCAGCUGGUUAGAGCGCUACUCUGAUAAAGUAGAGGUCCUGUGUUCGAGUCACAGCGGGCCCACCA
Molecule: transfer RNA, 77 nt
Filed under: Chloroflexota bacterium
Lineage: Bacteria; Bacillati; Chloroflexota
Also listed under: 1 other name
Description: tRNA-Ile
Rfam family: tRNA
About the family: Transfer RNA (tRNA) molecules are approximately 80 nucleotides in length. Their secondary structure includes four short double-helical elements and three loops (D, anti-codon, and T loops).
Source: RNAcentral